GUGGGGAAUCUUCCGCAAUGGACGAAAGUCUGACGGAGCGACGCCGCGUGAGUGAAGAAGGCCUUCGGGUCGUAAAGCUCUGUCAUCAGGGACGAACGGCCGGUGGAGUGGAAAGCCACCGGAUUGACGGUACCUGAGAAGGAAGCCACGGCUAACUACGUGCCAGCAGCCGCGGUAAUACGUAGGUGGCAAGCGUUGUCCGGAAUUAUUGGGCGUAAAGCGCGCGCAGGUGGGAUCUUAAGUCCAUUUUUAAAGUUCGGAGCUCAACUCCGUGAUGGGAUGGAAACUGGGAUUCUUGAGUACCGGAGAGGAAAGCGGAAUUCCCCGUGUAGCGGUGAAAUGCGUAGAUAUGGGGAGGAACACCAGUGGCGAAGGCGGCUUUCUGGACGGUGUCUGACACUGAGGCGCGAAAGCCAGGGGAGCGAACGGGAUUAGAAACCCUGGUAGUCC
Molecule: ribosomal RNA, 450 nt
Filed under: uncultured bacterium
Lineage: Bacteria
Description: partial 16S ribosomal RNA
Rfam family: Bacterial small subunit ribosomal RNA
Source: RNAcentral